This 497-nucleotide ribosomal RNA is filed under the name uncultured bacterium. RNAcentral's name for it is "partial 16S ribosomal RNA". It matches the Rfam family "Bacterial small subunit ribosomal RNA", at positions 28 to 507 of the family's 1533-position model. The record is from RNAcentral.
GAUGAACGCUGGCGGCGUGCCUAAUACAUGCAAGUCGAGCGAACAGACGAGGAGCUUGCUCCUCUGACGUUAGCGGCGGACGGGUGAGUAACACGUGGAUAACCUACCUAUAAGACUGGGAUAACUUCGGGAAACCGGAGCUAAUACCGGAUAAUAUAUUGAACCGCAUGGUUCAAUAGUGAAAGACGGUUUUGCUGUCACUUAUAGAUGGAUCCGCGCCGCAUUAGCUAGUUGGUAAGGUAACGGCUUACCAAGGCAACGAUGCGUAGCCGACCUGAGAGGGUGGUCGGCCACACUGGAACUGAGACACGGUCCAGACUCCUACGGGAGGCAGCAGUAGGGAAUCUUCCGCAAUGGGCGAAAGCCUGACGGAGCAACGCCGCGCGAGUGAUGAAGGUCUUCGGAUCGUAAAACUCUGUUAUUAGGGAAGAACAAAUGUGUAAGUAACUAUGCACGUCUUGACGGUACCUAAUCAGAAAGCCACGGCUAACUACGUG